This 460-nucleotide ribosomal RNA is filed under the name uncultured bacterium. Its description in RNAcentral is "partial 16S ribosomal RNA". It matches the Rfam family "Bacterial small subunit ribosomal RNA", at positions 338 to 795 of the family's 1533-position model. The record is from RNAcentral.
CCUACGGGAGGCAGCAGUGAGGAAUAUUGGUCAAUGGUCGGGAGACUGAACCAGCCAAGCCGCGUGAGGGAGGAAGGUACAGAGUAUCGUAAACCUCUUUUGUCAGGGAACAAAGGCGGGGACGUGUCCCCGGAUGAGUGUACCUGAAGAACAAGCAUCGGCUAACUCCGUGCCAGCAGCCGCGGUAAUACGGAGGAUGUGAGCGUUUUCCGGAUUUCUUGGUUUUAAAGGGUGCUCAGUCGGUCUUUUAAGUCAGCGGUCAAAGCCCGGGGCUCAACCCCGGCCCGGCGUUGAAACUGGCAGUCUCGAGGUGGAGAGAAGUAUGCGGAAUGCGCGGGGUAGCGGUGAAAUGCAUAGAUAUCGCGCAGGACUCCGAUUGCGAAGGCAGCAUGCCGGAUCCACACUGACGCUGAGGCACGAAAGCGUGGGUAUCGAACAGGAUUAGAUACCCCUGGUAGUC